Molecule: transfer RNA, 74 nt
Filed under: Serratia marcescens
Lineage: Bacteria; Pseudomonadati; Pseudomonadota; Gammaproteobacteria; Enterobacterales; Yersiniaceae
Description: tRNA-Phe(gaa)
Rfam family: tRNA
About the family: Transfer RNA (tRNA) molecules are approximately 80 nucleotides in length. Their secondary structure includes four short double-helical elements and three loops (D, anti-codon, and T loops).
Source: RNAcentral
GCCCGGAUAGCUCAGUCGGUAGAGCAGGGGAUUGAAAAUCCCUGUGUCCUUGGUUCGAUUCCGAGUCCGGGCAC